AUCAGGUUUGGAUCCAAGUUUCAUAAACUUCAUCUUUGCCAGAGAAAAGAAAGAUCCAAACUUUACUAUCCUUGCACGCAACAAAAACCAACCUCUUCUUCCCUUGUUGUGUUUACUAUUGAACCAAGAACUCCAGAAUCAGACAGCAUACACCUUCCAAGUGAUAUAUAUACAUAACCCCAACUCGAGGAGAAGUUUCCCUUAAUUGGAAAUGGAACAGUAACCCAAGGUGUGGGGACCAAAUUUGUUGUGAAUUAGAACACAACAAGACCUUCUAUGGCUUCAAUCAAAUCUGAUCUAGAAAAAGACUAAGAAAUGAGACACAUUAUCAAAUCGAGGCAAGAUUAGUCUGACUAUGAAAGAGAGAGAAGAGAGGGGGGGGGGGG
This 386-nucleotide long non-coding RNA is filed under the name Linum usitatissimum (flax). RNAcentral's name for it is "long non-coding RNA (LUSI_LNC001395)". Lineage: Eukaryota; Viridiplantae; Streptophyta; Magnoliopsida; Malpighiales; Linaceae. The record is from RNAcentral.